AUUGAACGCUGGCGGCAGGCCUAACACAUGCAAGUCGAACGAGUGGCGGACGGGUGAGUAAUGUCUGGGAAACUGCCCGAUGGAGGGGGAUAACUACUGGAAACGGUAGCUAAUACCGCAUACCAUCGGAUGUGCCCAGAUGGGUUUAGCUAGUAGGUGGGGUAAUGGCGCCCCUAGGCGACGAUCCCUAGCUGGUCUGAGAGGAUGACCCGCCACACUGGAACGGAGACACGGUCCAGACUCCUACGGGAGGCAGCAGUGGGGAAUAUUGCACAAUGGGCGCAAGCCUGAUGCAGCCAUGCCGCGUGUAUGAAGAAGGCCUUCGGGUUGUAAAGUACUUUCAGCGGGGAGGCGUUACUCGCAGAAGAAGCACCGGCUAACUCCGUGCCAGCAGCCGCGGUAAUUC
This 406-nucleotide ribosomal RNA is filed under the name uncultured bacterium. RNAcentral describes it as "partial 16S ribosomal RNA". It matches the Rfam family "Bacterial small subunit ribosomal RNA", at positions 30 to 526 of the family's 1533-position model. The record is from RNAcentral.